RNAcentral lists this ribosomal RNA (253 nucleotides) under uncultured bacterium. Its description in RNAcentral is "partial 16S ribosomal RNA". It matches the Rfam family "Bacterial small subunit ribosomal RNA", at positions 524 to 776 of the family's 1533-position model. The record is from RNAcentral.
UACGUAGGUGGCAAGCGUUAUCCGGAUUUAUUGGGUGUAAAGGGCGUGUAGGCGGGAGCGCAAGUCAGAUGUGAAAACUCAGGGCUCAACCCUGAGCCUGCAUUUGAAACUGUGUUUCUUGAGUGCUGGAGAGGCAAUCGGAAUUCCAUGUGUAGCGGUGAAAUGCGUAGAUAUACGGAGGAACACCAGUGGCGAAGGCGGAUUGCUGGACAGUAACUGACGCUGAGGCGCGAAAGCGUGGGGAGCAAACAGG